This 241-nucleotide ribosomal RNA is filed under the name Klebsiella pneumoniae. RNAcentral's name for it is "partial 23S ribosomal RNA". It matches the Rfam family "Bacterial large subunit ribosomal RNA", at positions 803 to 1041 of the family's 2925-position model. The record is from RNAcentral. Lineage: Bacteria; Pseudomonadati; Pseudomonadota; Gammaproteobacteria; Enterobacterales; Enterobacteriaceae.
GAUGACUUGUGGCUGGGGGUGAAAGGCCAAUCAAACCGGGAGAUAGCUGGUUCUCCCCGAAAGCUAUUUAGGUAGCUGCCUCGUGAACUCAUCUUCGGGGGUAGAGCACUGUUUCGGCUAGGGGGUCAUCCCGACUUACCAACCGAUGCAAACUACGAAUACCGAAGAAUGUUAUCACGGGAGACACACGGCGGGUGCUAACGUCCGUCGUGAAGAGGGAAACAACCCAGACCGCCAGCUA